RNAcentral lists this unclassified non-coding RNA (356 nucleotides) under Hevea brasiliensis (rubber tree). The record is from RNAcentral. Lineage: Eukaryota; Viridiplantae; Streptophyta; Magnoliopsida; Malpighiales; Euphorbiaceae.
AGUUAUGGAGCAAUGUGAAAGGCAGCAAUAACGCUAGCACAUAAGAAGCAUGAAAAGAUGAUUAGCUGAUGCCCCCCAAGCCAAGGCGGACUCUUCAAUGAGACCCCGAAAAAAAAAGGGGGAAUGGUACUAGUACAAAACUAUUCUUCUCCUCCUUUCCUCAUUAUUCGCAGGAAUACAAAGAAAAAUAGAGAGAGAGAGAGAGAGANNNNNNNNAAAUGAAUGGAAUUAUAUCUGUUGAAAGGCCACCACAAAACAAAUCCAACACUAAUGCUCCCACCACCAUAACUCUUCUCAUCUUUUGGUUUUAUUUUUCUUUUCCUUUAAUUUCCUUCCUUGUUGUGCCUGUUAUAUAC